UGCCGGGCCUUUCCCUUGUCAGUGAGAAGUCUGGACCGUUUUCCCCGUGCUCUGGGAUCUGGGUCCCAGGGGGAGAGUGAUUCGCUUUGGGCCUGGGAAGGAAUUGCCUCCAAAUGCUUCCCGUAUGAGUGUUGCUCCAGCAGAGCCAGGCCAGGGCCGUGCCAGGGGCAGCCAUGCCCGCUCGUUAGAGAAAUAAUGGCCAGGUCUUCGUUUCAAUGGGAUUCUUGCCUUUUUUGGGCCCAGAAUUCGAAGGGAAAGGGGGAUUCCCCGGGCCAGGGCAGACGGGGAAGAAUCGGGUCUGGGAGAGGCCGGAGGAAGGUGUGGGACUGGCCAGCCGUCUCCCCCAGCCUCCAUCCUGUAGUAGGGCCGGACCAGCCGAGGCUUGAGGCCCUGAACUGCCGAGGGGACUCCAUGAAGAACAUCCACCCCCACAUUUCCGGGACGGCCUUUCCGAUGUGACUCUAUUAGGCCUUGGCUGGGCUCCCUUUCGUGGCUGCCUGCGGAUGCACAAUUAACGUGUUCUCUGGUGAGGGGAGAGAAAAGGCGGCACCUGAGGAGGACGAGUGUCAGAUUCUAAUCACCGUCCGCAGCUGCUGUCUGCAAUCACCUCUGGCCGACACGGGGGAUGCUGGGAGCUACCAGGCCUCGCCACAGCCCACCUCAUUAGACGUGACCUUCCCAGCUGGGGAUUUCAUUUGUGCUUCUUAAUGGGCCCGCAGACUGCAAAUCGCACACCUUAUGCAGACGGGCUCCUUUGUAUCUGCGACAAAAGAGAGCCGCCAGUUGGGCACACCGUGAGAGCCCACCGGAAGGGACAGACUUUCUCAGCCGCUGACCGCGGAGGGCAGAGCCUUGUCCGAGAUAAAUGGCUCUCCGGGCUUUGAAGCCCUCCAGUGUGUGCCCCCGCCCACAACGCGGCCGCCAUGACAGGCCCUCAGUGCUCUGGCAGAGGGAGGAGGACCGUCCGCCUAUGGCCGCCUUCAGACAGAGCUUUCUGGUUUCCAGCAAACGCAGCCCCCCCCCCUCCCCCCAAAGGCCUGGAUUCCUUCCUGUUGGACUGUUGGCCACCGAGAAGAGCCUUGGUCCAAGCGAGGCCAGAGUCUGCGCCAGCGGAGACGCGAAAAUGGUGAGGAGGGCGAGGGGGGCGCGCGGAAAGAAUAAAUAUGGCUGCUUCCUUCCCCCUUUCCAUUUGUGUUUGUAAUAAACUCACUCUCAUACAAUUAGCCUCAAUUGUUUUGCUAUCUUCAGAGGCAAUAAUCUGGGCAGCCUGGGGAUUCGGGGAGUAAUCCGUCUACCUGUGUUCAUUUACCCAAAUCACUAUGGUUACAGGCAGGGCCAAGUGUUGGCUGGGAGGAUCCUGGGAGCCCCUUUCCCGCUCCUAAUGACCUUUCUGCUCCUCCAAUAACAUCCCCCAGCCGGGGAGGCCGCCCGGCCCAUUAAAGCCAAUUGCCUCUCCAGUUACUGAGGGACCUGGGCUUUUCCUCAUUUAUUUUCUCCGUCUGAUGUAACUCACAUGCCACUUUCUUGUCUUUAAAGAAGGGGAAAAACUGGGGAUUAUUGAUUUGCUUCUGAACAGAAGACCAACCUAAAAGCCCCAAUGAAUUGUCACUCAUUAUUGAAAUUACUGAGCACUAAUUAAACUGGCAGCCCAAGUCCCAGCAGGCCACACUCAUCUGAAGCUGAAAUCCAGACACUUGGACAGUGGAAGAGAGGCAGCGUUAGCAACCAUCGGGCCGGGGCUGCAUUUCUCUGCUGGUCUGUCCUUUCACUGAUGUUGGGGACUCGAAGUGAAUGAAACCUCUCCACCAAGGACGCUGCUAUUUCUAGCCUUAACGAUUUGCCCCGAGCCCUAAGAAGUUGAGAGAUUACUCAGUCAGAAGGAGUCUGAGAGUUACCUUUGGGAAAACAGCCCACUGGGAAAAGAUGCUCUAGCUACACUUGGAUGGCACACUCAAUGGAUUCUGAGAACUUGUCUGCUUUUCCAGCUGGUCACAUGACUGAAGCUAUUUGAUCACCUGACACAAUUUCUGAGCUGAAAUGAAAUGCAAAUUGUAAAGCUUAGACCCUUUUCAUAUUUGUAAGAAAAUGGGUCCAGAAACGGGAGGGGCUUGACCAAGGUCAAACAGCUAGCUAGAGGU
Monodelphis domestica (gray short-tailed opossum) is the source of this 2138-nucleotide non-coding RNA. NCBI's taxonomy places the organism in Eukaryota, Metazoa, Chordata, Mammalia, Didelphimorphia, Didelphidae. The record is from RefSeq and is a predicted model, not a curated record.